Molecule: ribosomal RNA, 450 nt
Filed under: uncultured bacterium
Lineage: Bacteria
Description: partial 16S ribosomal RNA
Rfam family: Bacterial small subunit ribosomal RNA
Source: RNAcentral
GUGGGGAAUAUUCCGCAAUGGACGAAAGUCUGACGGAGCAACGCCGCGUGAGUGAUGAAGGUUUUCGGACUGUAAAGCUCUGUUGUUUAGGACGAAAGUGCCUGUUGCGAACAGUUACAGGUAUUGACGGUACUAAACGAGGAAGCCACGGCUAACUACGUGCCAGCAGCCGCGGUAAUACGUAGGUGGCAAGCGUUGUCCGGACUUAUUGGGCGUAAAGAGCAUGUAGGCGGAGAUUUAAGUCUGGUGUGAAAAUGCGGGGCUCAACCCCGUAUUGCGAUGGAAACUGAAUUUCUUGAGUGCAGGAGAGGAAAGGGGAAUUCCCAGUGUAGCGGUGAAAUGCGUAGAUAUUGGGAGGAACACCAGUGGCGAAGGCGCCUUUCUGGACUGUGUCUGACGCUGAGAUGCGAAAGCCAGGGUAGCGAACGGGAUUAGAUACCCUGGUAGUCC